RNAcentral lists this ribosomal RNA (448 nucleotides) under uncultured bacterium. RNAcentral's name for it is "partial 16S ribosomal RNA". It matches the Rfam family "Bacterial small subunit ribosomal RNA", at positions 328 to 792 of the family's 1533-position model. The record is from RNAcentral.
UGUCCAGACUCCUACGGGAGGCAGCAGUGGGGAAUAUUGCACAAUGGGGGAAACCCUGAUGCAGCGACGCCGCGUGGGCGACGAAGCGCUCCGGCGCGUAGAGCCCUGUCAGCAGGGAAGAACAAAGACAGUACCUGACCAAGAAGCCCCGGCUAACUACGUGCCAGCAGCCGCGGUAAUACGUAGGGGGCAAGCGUUAUCCGGAUUCACUGGGCGUAAAGGGAGCGCAGGCGGCACGGCAAGUCUGGUGUGAAAGCCCGGGGCCCAACCCCGGGACUGCUCUUGGAACUGCGCGGCUGGAGUGCCGGAGGGGCAGGCGGAAUUCCUGGUGUAGCGGUGAAAUGCGUAGAUAUCAGGAGGAACACCGGCGGCGAAGGCGGCCUGCUGGACUGCGACUGACGUUGAGGCCCGAAAGCGUGGGGAGCAAACAGGAUUAGAUACCCUAGUA